GCAUGCGAGUCGAGCGAGAACCCGCAAGGGGGACAGCGGCAAACGGGGUAGGAAUGGUCGGUAACGUACCCUUCGGACGGGGAUAGCCACGGGAAACUGUGGGUAAUACUCGAUAAACUCCUUGAACGUAACGGUUUAGGGAGCAAAGGUGAGAUUCCACCGGAGGAGCGGCUGACUUAGUAUUAGCUAGUUGGUGAGGUAAAAGCUUACCAAGGCAUCGAUGCUUAGGGGGUGUGAGAGCAUGGCCCCCACCACUGGGACUGAGAUACUGCCCAGACACCUACGGGUGGCUGCAGUCGAGAAUCUUCGGCAAUGGGCGAAAGCCUGACCGAGCGACGCCGCGUGUGGGAUGAAGGCCCUUGGGUUGUAAACCACUGUCAGGGGGGAUGAAAUGCGCGGGGGUACUCCCCUGCGUUUGACGGAGCCCCAGAGGAAGCACGGGCUAAGUUCGUGCCAGCAGCCGCGGUAAUACGAACUGUGCAAACGUUAUUCGGAAUCACUGGGCUUAAAGGGUGCGUAGGCGGCUUAUUAAGCAGGGUGUGAAAUCCCCCGGCUCAACCGGGGAAUAGCGCUCUGAACUGAUGAGCUUGAGUGAGGCAGGGGUGCGCGGAACUUCUNGUGGAGCGGUGAAAUGUGUUGAUAUUGGAAGGAACNCCGGAGGCGAAAGCGGCGCACUGGGUCUUGUCUGACGCUGAGGCACGAAAGCCAGGGGAGCAAACGGGAUUAGAUACCCCCGGUAGUCCUGGCCGUAAACGAUGAGUACUAGUGGGGGAGGUCUGCGAGGGCUUUCUCACGGAGCGAAAGUUUUAAGUACUC
RNAcentral lists this ribosomal RNA (816 nucleotides) under uncultured bacterium. Its description in RNAcentral is "bacterial SSU rRNA". It matches the Rfam family "Bacterial small subunit ribosomal RNA", at positions 53 to 869 of the family's 1533-position model. The record is from RNAcentral.